This 253-nucleotide ribosomal RNA is filed under the name uncultured bacterium. RNAcentral describes it as "partial 16S ribosomal RNA". It matches the Rfam family "Bacterial small subunit ribosomal RNA", at positions 524 to 776 of the family's 1533-position model. The record is from RNAcentral.
UACAGAGGUGGCAAGCGUUGUUCGGAAUUACUGGGCGUAAAGGGCGCGUAGGCGGUCAGGUCAGUCCCGUGUGAAAUCCCUCGGCUCAACUGAGGAACUGCACGGGAAACUGCCUGGCUUGAGUUCGGGAGAGGGAAGCGGAAUUCCGGGUGUAGCGGUGAAAUGCGUAGAUAUCCGGAGGAACACCGGUGGCGAAGGCGGCUUCCUGGACCGACACUGACGCUGAGGCGCGAAAGCUAGGGGAGCAAACAGG